UAGGCGACCGGGUGAGUAACACGUGACCAAUCUACCCUGGAUGGGGGAUAACCUCGGGAAACCGGGGCUAAUACCGCAUAACAUCCCUGGAUCGGAAGAACUGGGGAUCAAAGGAGCAAUUCGCUUCAGGAGGAGGUCGCGGCUGAUUAGCUAGUUGGCGGGGUAAUGGCCCACCAAGGCGAAGAUCGGUAGCCGGCCUGAGAGGGCGCACGGCCACACUGGAACUGAAACACGGUCCAG
RNAcentral lists this ribosomal RNA (240 nucleotides) under uncultured bacterium. RNAcentral describes it as "partial 16S ribosomal RNA". It matches the Rfam family "Bacterial small subunit ribosomal RNA", at positions 95 to 334 of the family's 1533-position model. The record is from RNAcentral.